UGCCAGACUCCUACGGGAGGCAGCAGUGGGGGAUAUUGCACAAUGGGGGAAACCCUGAUGCAGCGACGCCGCGUGGGUGAAGAAGCGCCUCGGCGCGUAAAGCCCUGUCAGCAGGGAAGAAAAUGACGGUACCUGAAGAAGAAGCCCCGGCUAACUACGUGCCAGCAGCCGCGGUAAUACGUAGGGGGCAAGCGUUAUCCGGAUUUACUGGGUGUAAAGGGAGCGUAGACGGCAGUGCAAGUCUGGAGUGAAAGGCGGGGGCCCAACCCCCGGACUGCUCUGGAAACUGUACGGCUGGAGUGCAGGAGAGGUAAGUGGAAUUCCUAGUGUAGCGGUGAAAUGCGUAGAUAUUAGGAGGAACACCGGUGGCGAAGGCGGCCUGCUGGACUGUAACUGACGUUGAGGCUCGAAAGCGUGGGGAGCAAACAGGAUUAGAUACCCCUGUACC
Molecule: ribosomal RNA, 448 nt
Filed under: uncultured bacterium
Lineage: Bacteria
Description: bacterial SSU rRNA
Rfam family: Bacterial small subunit ribosomal RNA
Source: RNAcentral